RNAcentral lists this ribosomal RNA (164 nucleotides) under Oenanthe sarmentosa. RNAcentral describes it as "5.8S ribosomal RNA". It matches the Rfam family "5.8S ribosomal RNA". Rfam says of the family: 5.8S ribosomal RNA (5.8S rRNA) is a component of the large subunit of the eukaryotic ribosome. It is transcribed by RNA polymerase I as part of the 45S precursor that also contains 18S and 28S rRNA. The record is from RNAcentral. Lineage: Eukaryota; Viridiplantae; Streptophyta; Magnoliopsida; Apiales; Apiaceae.
AAACGACUCUCGGCAACGGAUAUCCCGGCUCUCGCAUCGAUGAAGAACGUAGCGAAAUGCGAUACUUGGUGUGAAUUGCAGAAUCCCGUGAACCAUCGAGUCUUUGAACGCAAGUUGCGCCUGAGGCCAUUUAGGCCAAGGGCACGUCUGCCUGGGUGUCACGC